AUUGAACGCUGGCGGCAUGCCUAACACAUGCAAGUCGAACGGCAGCGCGGGGGCAACCCUGGCGGCGAGUGGCGGACGGGUGAGGAAUGCAUAGGAAUCUGCCCGGUUGUGGGGGAUAACGUAGGGAAACUUACGCUAAUACCGCAUACGACCUUCGGGUGAAAGUGGGGGACCUUCGGGCCUCACGCGAUCGGAUGAGCCUAUGCCCGAUUAGCUAGUUGGCGGGGUAAGAGCCCACCAAGGCGACGAUCGGUAGCUGGUCUGAGAGGAUGAUCAGCCACACUGGGACUGAGACACGGCCCAGACUCCUACGGGAGGCAGCAGUGGGGAAUAUUGGACAAUGGGCGCAAGCCUGAUCCAGCAAUGCCGCGUGUGUGAAGAAGGCCUUCGGGUUGUAAAGCACUUUUGUUCGGGAAGAAAUCCGUGUGGUUAAUACCCGUACGGGAUGACGGUACCGAAAGAAUAAUCACCGGCUAACUUCGUG
This 484-nucleotide ribosomal RNA is filed under the name uncultured bacterium. RNAcentral describes it as "partial 16S ribosomal RNA". It matches the Rfam family "Bacterial small subunit ribosomal RNA", at positions 30 to 507 of the family's 1533-position model. The record is from RNAcentral.